AGUCAAGAGACGCUUGGCAAUAUGGCGUACAGAAGAAGCAAAGUUCUUCUGGAAUUAAGAGAGAUUCCUAGGUGUCUUGAUAAAUGUCUGCAAAUUCUUUUGGCAUUUGGGAUGGCGUUCAAUGCUAUUGAAUCUCUACAGUUGUGAUGCUGUCUCUUAGAGCCAGGAGGUCCUUGGAACCUUGGCUUCUUAUGCUCUGAUUGCAUCUGCUA
RNAcentral lists this unclassified non-coding RNA (212 nucleotides) under Hevea brasiliensis (rubber tree). Lineage: Eukaryota; Viridiplantae; Streptophyta; Magnoliopsida; Malpighiales; Euphorbiaceae. The record is from RNAcentral.